CCAACGAUGGUAUCUGAGUGACUUAACACAUCACUUAGCUCUGCCAGUGUGGCGUACGGGAGCUGAACCCUCAUCCAGGGUUCUGAUGUAUAUUCCCUUUCCACGACGUUGGAGAGCAACCCCUGUCCCCAAUGUUCCGGCAUUGAUGUGGAUAGGCUCCUCGCAUAUUCCUGCGUCUUCUCUGAGCCACUCUGUGGCGGUGACUGAGGGGGUAAACCAUGCGAGGAACAUUC
Molecule: small nucleolar RNA, 233 nt
Filed under: Patiria miniata (bat star)
Lineage: Eukaryota; Metazoa; Echinodermata; Asteroidea; Valvatida; Asterinidae
Description: small nucleolar RNA SNORA73 family
Rfam family: Small nucleolar RNA SNORA73 family
About the family: U17 (SNORA73A and SNORA73B) also known as E1 belongs to the H/ACA class of small nucleolar RNAs (snoRNAs).
Source: Rfam by way of RNAcentral